AAGACCGUACUUACUAGGAUCAUUUCUAUAGUACGUGUCCCGUCUUUGUUUCCCAACAAAGGCAACCUCUUCAACCACGAUGAUGAGUAGUACCGUUUCCUUCUGAGCGCGAAGGAAGUCAAGGGCAUUGCCUUCAUUGGCAAGUCGCCACUGGCACUUGAUGAACGUUCUUUUCCUUUGCUUAGCGAAGGAAAGGAGGAAGGGAACGCAUUCAGAGUGGU
This 221-nucleotide small nucleolar RNA is filed under the name Actinia tenebrosa (Australian red waratah sea anemone). RNAcentral describes it as "small nucleolar RNA U3". It matches the Rfam family "Small nucleolar RNA U3". Rfam says of the family: Small nucleolar RNAs (snoRNAs) are involved in the processing and modification of rRNA in the nucleolus. The record is from Rfam by way of RNAcentral. Lineage: Eukaryota; Metazoa; Cnidaria; Anthozoa; Actiniaria; Actiniidae.